GACGAACGCUGGCGGCGUGCUUAACACAUGCCAGUCGAACGGAAAGGCCCUGCUUGCAGGGUACUCGAGUGGCGAACGGGUGAGUAACACGUGGGUGAUCUGCCCUGCACUUCGGGAUAAGCUUGGGAAACUGGGUCUAAUACCGGAUAGGAGCCAUCUUUAGUGUGGUGGUUGGAAAGUUUUUUCGGUGUAGGAUGAGCUCGCGGCCUAUCAGCUUGUUGGUGGGGUAAUGGCCUACCAAGGCGGCGACGGGUAGCCGGCCUGAGAGGGUGUACGGCCACAUUGGGACUGAGAUACGGCCCAGACUCCUACGGGAGGCAGCAGUGGGGAAUAUUGCACAAUGGGCGCAAGCCUGAUGCAGCGACGCCGCGUGGGGGAUGAAGGCCUUCGGGUUGUAAACUCCUUUCGCUAGGGACGAAGCUUUUUGUGACGGUACCUAGAUAAGAAGCACCGGCUAACUACGUG
RNAcentral lists this ribosomal RNA (465 nucleotides) under uncultured bacterium. RNAcentral's name for it is "partial 16S ribosomal RNA". It matches the Rfam family "Bacterial small subunit ribosomal RNA", at positions 28 to 507 of the family's 1533-position model. The record is from RNAcentral.